This is a long non-coding RNA of Rhea pennata, 9853 nucleotides long. RefSeq lists it as uncharacterized. The record is from RefSeq and is a predicted model, not a curated record. The transcript is spliced from 3 exons. NCBI's taxonomy places the organism in Eukaryota, Metazoa, Chordata, Aves, Rheiformes, Rheidae.
UGCAUGGUCUGCUGAGUAAAAAGUCUCCUUUCUCAAGAAACUUUCAUGGAGCAAAGAUGCACCACGGGUUGCUUUGCCUGGAAGAGGACAACAUGGUGUAGUUUUACAGCCCCUUAAUGGUCCGGGCAAGACACAGACAUAGCAGACAGCAAGGAUACAAAACCCAACCAAGAUGGCAGGAGGCUUCUCAGCUGUGUCUUGGAGCAACGUGUCGUCGCUAAGAGCUAAGCAAUUCUUUAAUCAGUACAACUUUCACACUUGUAGUUUUGCUACAGUUUGUGCUUUUAAUCUUGGGAUCUAAUGGUAGCUACCUUCUUCCUUUCUCUGUUUUUUAAAAUAUAUAUAUUUUUUGUGAUAGGGAGGAAGUUUGAUUGUGAAAGCCAGAAGCCUCUUUCCAGAUGAAGAAUCCAGAAGAGGAGAUUUCUAACUGAUACCUUUACCCAAGCAUUUGAGACUUCUAACUGAUACCCUUAGCUAGGCAUUUGAGAACAGAGUUAACAAAUUUGUCAGCUAGAGCUUCUAUCUUUAAAAGGCUUCCAAAAGAGGUUUCACUUUUAGAUUGAAAGAAAAAGGUGUCUGUAAUAGCUUCCUCACUUUUUAUAUAUGCACACAGGAAGGUUCAGGUCCCUUUUUCAAAUUAAUUUUUCAGCACUAAAGCCACAAUAGCUGCAAAUUUACUCAGCAAACAAACCAGCUGCUUUUUCAAGCACCCAGAAGAAGAGCAUUAGUGCACCUGCUUAAAUCUAGCUUGUCCCAAACCAUUUUCAACAUACAGUGGAAUCAACAGCAAACUCUGGCACAGUCAUCUUAUUUCUUGGAAGAUGUCCUGCUUCGGAAUACAGCUCCUUUUGGCAUUCUCUGAGAGUAAUAUAUUUUCUUGUGUGAGUAAUUCAGAGAUGACACAAUACAAUUUUCAUUAGUAUAGAGCAAAAUCUUUAUAAUAUUUACUACUUCUGUACAACAUCUCUUGCAAGAAUCCUUCAGGAUAGCCUUGGGAAUCUUUCCAUCCAUGCGGGAUGAACAGAGAAGCUUCACUGAACAUAGUCAUGUUAAGACAUAAAAUGACCUCCUUUUAACCAAAUGGCUGCUGUUAGCUGCUCAAACAGGAUAGUAAAAGACAGGAUACAAAUCAAGGUAUGUACAAAUUAAUGUGUUGGUAGCAAUUAUCUGACUUGUAAAAAGGGACAAGGAGAAAACGCAAUAAUAUUAGUAGAGAAACUUCCCUGACGGCUUUACGAUAUAUGCACCAAACGAGGAUCUAGUUCUUGGGCACCUGCCUUCAUCACCGGUUAUUGCCUAUACAGCACAAAGAAUCAUACGAGACUGAGGAGAUUAGCAUGUACUGUACCGAAUGCCAAUUUGAAAUGACACGACAGGCUUGCUUGCUGGAGUAGUAAGAAUUAGAUCGUGACCUGGAUAUCCAAAGCUCAGGGACCAAAACCACUCCUUGCCCUAACUUCACUGAAGUUAGCAGAGGCAAAAAAGGGAUAAAUUGGCUGUAUUCCUUAAAGGUCCUCUUUGACUUAAUACAGUCAUAUCUUUGUUAUAUUACUUCACUAUCUUUAUUUUGGUUGCUUGUAAAGUUGGAGUAUAGUUGGGAUCAGCUGCAAGAACAGCAACAGUGGACUGCAGUGGAACAUGUGGCAACUGGCUUUCCUCAAGUUAGCUUUGCAUCCUGAGCAUCAGUUUAAAGCGCUUCAUAAUAUUAUAUAAGAUGCUGAUACUUAUUUACCAGGUUUCUAUCACAGCACUUACAAAACAAGAUGUUACAUAAAUAAUGGUUCCCCAAAUCUCCUAAACAGCAUCUACUAGUACUUCUCAAUGUACUCCUCUGUCUGCUGAUGCUAGCAUCUUCAAGUCAAAUUCUUGUCAGAAAAUUGCUAAACAUAUCAUUUCCCACGAGGGAAAAAAAUCUUUAAAUUUAAUUAAAAGACCUUAACUCUAGUCCUGCACAUCAGAAUCUUGUUCCCCACAUGUUUUCUGCUAUGUGACGUAAAGGGAUAGGCUGAGCAUUUAUAUUAGCAGCAGCUCUCAAAACCUUUGGCUUUGCUUUUUUUUUUUUUUUUUUUUUUUUUUUUUUUUUUGCAUUAGUUGAAGGAUAUUUUGAUAAAAUGCAUCUCUCUCACACACACCUCACUAUUUCACUUCCACAAAUAAAGCUAAUAAACAACCUGAAUUUUAAAGUUCAUUUCUCCAACUUCUGCCAAUACAUUUCACACUCCAGGUAGCAAAAAUCUCACAACAUUUUGUUUGACAUCUUAAUCAACAUUGUGGCAAGGUCCCAGGAAUAUCAUUAAAGAAGAGUAGAAGUGUUAAGCAAAAGAGCUAAACUACAGCUGAUUAGGGCAUGAGAUGUAUGCUGGGCUUAACGGGUUAUGAAACAAUACUCCUCCUACUGCUUCGUAUGUUUUCACAGGAAGAAAAAACAAACCAUUGUAGUAUUUUCAGAAAGUUAGAAUAAAAACAAGUCUAUGAACAGAUAAAAUUUUUGCUCUUGUGUAAUCUUACAUUAAUUAUAACCACAUUUAACACUAUUUUGCAGAGAAAAUAGAUUUUUACAGAAAAUCUGAGUAUUGGCAAAAGAAAAAAGAAGUAUUUAAGAUAGUUCCACUGUAUCCACAUUUACCGUGGUACCCAGACUAAGACAUCUAAAAGGGAAUAAUUUUCCUGCAUUUUACUCUAAUGACUUCAAAUGGGGUCAUACAGUUGUAACAGGAGAUUUUCAACCAGUACCGUUAACAACCAAAUUUUUCUUUUUUAGGGCUAUUAGAGACAAAGAUCGCAUAAAUCCUUUUAUAUGGUUCAAAAUGCAACAGCUAGCAUUAUACAAUUGAUAAUAACAGUAAGAAUGUUAUUCUGUCCUAUCAUCUGUUUUGCACUCCUGAUCCAUACUGACCCAGAUCAAAGCAGAUACCUUAGAAGUAAAGACGACAGAACAAUUCCCAUCAUUCCCAUCAAAACUCUUUUGGACAAGAAAAUCUUCAUGAUACUGUUGUUCUGUAAGAAAGUUUAGUGAUUAAAAAUAUCUGGCUUAGGAAACUAGUUUUUCAAAAUACAGAACAACAAAAGAAAAAAAAUCCUCUACAAAAUGUUCAUGUAAAAUACUGCUUUCUAACUAGCUGACCUUGAAAGGAAGCACUGGAAAUACGCAGUAAAACCUAUUCCUCACUAAUGUUAGCCAAUUCUACAGCCAGGAUGACCCAUUCUAAAAGAAAACUGAGCCUUACUUGCUAGUAUCUGAACUGCUCAUUAAUUUCUUGGACAUGUGUACAGAAAGACCUAGUCCUGCAAGGUGCUGAGUCACACAGAGGACAAAACACAGAGAACUAAACAUCUGUAACCCUGACUGGUCCAGAGCAGUUUGAUUUCAGCAAGCUUAAAAGAUCUUUUUUGUGUGUGUGUCUUUUCCUCUUGAAGAUCAGUAAAAGGCUUUUUAAUACAACACAGCUAUCAGGUGCCAGGGACAGAGACUUCCGUCAAACCAGCUCCAAAGUACUGAGUUUACUGACUUUUUUUUGGAUGACAAGUCAGAAGAAUUCAACUAUGUAUGGUCCAACAGUGCACCUGAAACUUCUUCCUCUGAACUGCUUCGUGGAGAAAGCUCUGGGAUGUGAAUUUCUUAUCAUAGGGCCUUCACCUUUAAAGCAAAAUGACAUGGCAUAGUGAAAGAGUUCACAAGUAGAAUGGAAAGAACACUAAAAGAAGAAGAGCAAACAUAACAAAAAAGGACAGAUUUUUCUCUAGAAGGAGGGAACACAGUGCAAUUAAUAAUGAAAAGGGAAAAGGCGGCUCCCAAUCUUCCACAACUCGCAGGACAGACACUUAGAUCAAAGUCACUCCUGGCAUAACACUGCUGAAAUAACACCAGGGAUGAAGUUGGACCAUAAAUCUUCAUCUCAGCCUGUUAUGAUGAUGAUGACUAAUUUAUUCAGCAUUGAAGACAAGGGGUUAUAAAAACAAAUUUAUGGCCACUGUAUUCAUUGUAAUUAAUUUUCUCCACAGUGAAAGCCUAGUGAUUUGGAAAAAACCGACCUUUUAGAAGUGCCUUAUUUAAUGGCUCAUUGUUGCAUUUACGGUGCCUGGCUGCACCCAGCAUUUGUGCAGUAAGACAGCACAGCUCUUGUACUCAGGGAUGGGAGGAUCUCCGCAGUCAUGGAGUCAAAACAAACCUGGAUGAUUCAAUGUUCCAGAAAGAGUUUUAUUUCUUUUAAAUAUCCGUUUUGUCCACGCAUAGAUAAGAUCGGACAUUCCUGAUGUAAACUCAAGAGCUGCAUCCAAAUCUGCUUGCUUAUGCUCAGCUGAGUGAAGUACAUUGAGCAGGGGGUGGCAGCGCACCAGGCUGACCUGCCAGGGGACACCAAGCCCCACUGCUGAGCCACGCGACUCCCUGCCCUGGAAGCCAGUAUUCAGGAGAAGGGUAAUUACUGCUCAGUCUUACUGGCAUCAGGAUUAGCUCUGUCGCCAUGGAAAGGACAAGUGAGAAUCUCACAGUGCUCAGGGGAGCAGAGGAAAUUUCAGGGGAGAGAGGAAAACUACGGAAUUAGUGUGGAUUCCUUCGUUCGUUUUCCACUAACCUCAACCCUUCUUCUCUGCUCCUCUGCCCAGAAGCAGAUGCUUUCUCAAGGGAUUUGUGCUUUCUACCGAUGAUGAGAUGGACUAAAAAGCGUGAGAAACGUGUUAAAAAUAAUGUUCUGUCUAGUAGUUCCUUUCUUGCGAUGGGGGGGGGGGAGGAUUGCGCUGUAACUCACAGCAAUACUGAAAUAUACUGAAAUAUUGAAAUAUUGAGAUAAUAUAUUAAGAUAUUACUUAUAAGUAUAAAUUACUAUAAAAAUAUGGAAACAUGGAUAAGAUUAAACUAAAUGUAUGGAUUGGCUUGUAGUAUUUCCUCUCUACAAUCUACAGCUUUGUUCUUCUAAAAUGGUCAUAAUUUCUGGGAUGUAAGUCUAAUUAUAAUCAGGUAGCACAGUCCUAGUGUUUGCAGACACUGUCAGAGAAGUAGCUGUAAUUACUUCCUCAAUCAUUCCCCAUGAACGAAGCACUCCAGGCUAUGCUAAAACUCAGCUUAAUCACUGGAAAUAAUAUAAAUUUUAAAAUAAAGUCUUAUUAGACUGCCAUCUUUAAAACUAAUUUCCCAAUAGUUCUAUUUCCUACUAAAUUUCAAAUUGUGCUUACAUAAAGAAAUCAGGAAGUAUGAAGCAUAAAAUAAAUGUUGCACUUUAGGAGUUUUAUUAGAACUGCUUCUGCAUGAGAUUAUGCCAGUCUCCUAGCCAUAAAUUUUUGCAGUGGAGAGAACAGGGUUAAUGGGUUACAUUAAAGUGCACAGUAAACAACAGAUAGGGCGAGAGAAUGGAUCGGUCUGAAAAACGUCAAGAGGCAGCAAACAUAAAACAAUUUGGAUUUGAUGGUCACUGGCUCAAAGUAACACCUAAACCUCAGACCCUUGCUCUUUCAACUCCAAGCAUUCAUCUGCUGACUGAUGUCACAGCACUUCACAAUCCAAAUUCUACAAACCAAAUAUAUGGAAAAUACAGUUCAAACAGAUGCCAGACCACAAUUUUCCAGGCCUCUGAAGUGUUAGCUUAUUAGAAAAAAAGAUCCUAGAUGUCCCAAGAAAAUAUUGGUUUCAGUCAAUUAACGUUACUUUCACAAUAAGCCUCUGGCCUUAGUAAACAUUAGAGAUGCAUCUUCCCCAACUUUAGAUAAAUAAUCAACCAGUGCAAAACAUCACGGGUUUUUGGUCUGAACCUCAUCUCAUAGAUAGGGCUUCCACACUGCCGUGUGAAAUAGCAUUGUGCUGCAGUAUUUCCAGCUGCUUCCCUUGCCUUGGACUGCAUGUAACCAUGUAUUUCAGGAAAGAAACAAAUACCAAACAGGACUUAAAGAAAUAAAAAAGAGCAAAUGGUUUUCAGACAAUUUCCCUAUCUUUACUAUUAUUACAAUAUGCUGUUUAAUCAAAUAUAUAAAACAUUAUUGCAGAUACUUAAAUGUUACUAAAUAUCAAAAAGUUAGUAAUAACUUCUAGAAAAUAGAGAUAGGAAAAAAUCCACACUGUAGAUGGAAAUCUUAUUUUAGUCUAGUGAAGAAAGAAAUACUUGCAGUGUACAUGGAUUUGUAAAUCAGGAAUCAGACUGCGAGGAGGGAGAUCUGAGUUCUAUUCCCCACCUAGUGUGAUGCCAGAUAAUUUCCGGCUCCUUUGCCUGUUGAUUAGGUCUGGGUAGAGUCCAAGUCUUCCAAGAUGCAGAUUGCCAGUAACCAUGUAAUCAUGAAAUGAGGCUCUACUAUUAACACUGCUGGUCAGGAACAAAAAUAACUGUAGUUUGGAAAUUUACAGUUUUUCAUCUAACCUCAGUAUAUCUGAGUUUGAAUGGCAGGAAGGUGCCACUGCUCCCACCUGCAGCUGAGAAUCUGGCUUUUACGGAAGACAAGGCUUUCGGAAACUAUUAUCUUCUCCAGUGAGUCACUGAUGCAAACAGUGAGUCCAUCUCCAUCUGACGUAGAUCUCUGGCUCUCUUUGAAGAGAAAACUAGAAUCUGAACCUUCAUGGUGAAAAUAAGCUAUCUCAGCAGGAUACUUUGUGAAAGAAGAAAGUAAAGAAAACAGGGAAUUGCAAUUCUAAAUAAUAACCAAAAUCUUUAUAUUUGGAGAUAAAAGUAAUCAACUAUGUCAUUUUUUCACAAGUCCUAGAUUACAGCAGGAAAACAAACUUUUUCCAGUGAAACAAUCAGGAGGUAAGCCACAGUCACCACACACUUUCCCGUGCUCCAUGAUAGCAGGUAGCCCCUGUUGUUAUGUGGUAUCUAAUAGUAAGCACUGGCUGUGAACUACAAUUUUUUUCUGAGCAAAUACUAAGGAUUACCGAGUUCUGUGUCUUUUGGAAAUACAUACUAUGUGAAAAGCAAAUGUUUGGAGUUUUUUCCCGCCUUUGAUGAAUAAAAUGUUUUCUGCUAAGAUACAGGGUAGUUGUUACCAACUAUCUUCUCUCUAUUCACCUGAUCUCCCGAUGAAUCUUUUGCAUCGACCUUUCGUAUGUUUUUGUUCCAUUAUUUGAACAGUGACAGGCAAAUGCUAACCACAUGGUCUUCAGAGAGUGCUACACUGGAUACACCAAGUUAAUUUUUUACCUCCUCCACUCUGUAGUUACCAGUUAGUCAAGCUAAUGCUGCUUUUAAAGUCAAUAUUUCAAAGAGUAGUUUCAUGCUACCACAUUUUCCUCUGACUUUGCUAGAAGAUAGUUCUCAUCACUAUCGCCACAUUAAAAAAAAAAAAAAAAAAAAAGAAGAAGAAGGACACUUUUUCAAACAAAUGGGGAAGAAUUCAAAUGUUAGAUAUGACAGAACGUCCCUGCGGAGGGUCAAAAGCAUGAAAUAAUUUGUGACACCUGACAAGAAUCUUUCCACUGGAUGAUGCCCAUUUGAGACAUCUAGCACAAUAGUGUGUGGUACAAACGUAAUGUUCAAGUCAAUGGGUCCUUUUUCCCAUUAAAAUAAUUCAGAGUUUUAAGACGUUUUUACUGUUUGAACACCAGUAAGCAGGAUUCAGGAGACCAUCCAUUUCUACUAUAAGGCAACAGCUUCAUCUUGCUAAUUUCAAAAUGAAAAGAAACACUACUGCAAAAAAAGUCUGUCAGAAAUGACCAUGGCUACUAUGAUGUUAAUAAUAAUAAAAAAAAGACUAGCACUUAAAAUAUGUCAAGCCCUUUUUUCCAUCCCUCCAAACAAAGACAUUUUUCCAAAGGCAGCAUAGAGUUUUCAUUUCUAUGUGACGUAAAUCCAAGAUACUGAAUUAAGAUUUUGAAAUUCUGCUCCACCAAGCAUUGCAUGACACCAUCACAAAACAAACUAAUGCAAAAGGAGAUCAAAUGAUCAACUUCAAUUUUGUGGAAUAAGUUCAUAUAACAUCACGUGAUGCAACAACCAAAUGAGUUUCAGGGCAAAGAUUUGUUUAUUCUUUUUCUCAUACACGGCCUUUCAUAAGCUUGAGGAACUGAUUCUCUCUUUACACCCUCUCUGACCCAUUUUAUCUACCUCUGCUCCACAUCUGUCUCAAUGGAAGGAUGCAUCUAGUGCUAAGGCUUAUAUGAAUAGCAGCACUUAAACCCAAAGGAGCACAAUUCACGUUGCUGUUGUGAAUGACAGUAGGUCUCCAAGGCUUUGCAACCUGCCCAUAAAAGUGUGCGUUAGACUGAAAUCUGGCAUGCAAGGAUUUCAUGAAAAUGGGAAUCUUUGGUUCUUCAAGAAGACAGUUAAAUAAAAUAACUAGUGGUUCGGUGCUUAGUCAAGCAGACUACUGUCUCAGAAACACCAGCUUUUCAAGUUUCCAUUUUCACUGAGUCACACACAGCAUCCACUAACAGAGAGGGAGUUUCUGUUCUGCAAGAAGGCAGCUCACCCAGCCGUGUUAGAAGAAUAAGCGUUUCCAGAAGUGGCCUAAGUAGCACUUGCACACACGACUGUAGAAGUACUCACACGAGCAAAGUUUCCUGAAGUAAAAGGACUGGUUUUCAGAUCCAGAUAUGCUUUGCUAAAAUGAGACACAAGAUUUCUUCAGCGCUUACUUUCUGCUACAUGACAUUGUCGACGACACCAGAAUAACAGAAGACCAGUGACAUCUCUUCAUUCUACCCCUCUGACACUGCCUGGAGUCCAAUCUUUUUAUAGCAAAAUUAAAGACAAAUCUCCCAGAGAGUCCCACUGAAGUCAAUACAACUAUUUAGGAAUGUAAAUACCAUUUAAUUCUCCGCUGUUGUAUCUACCGAAGAUAGGACUGGACCUUUAGGCCUUAAUUUAAUGAUUUCAUUUCUAUUCAGGGAAGUGCUUAAGAAGAUGUGUCCUCUGGUGAAUUAUCCAUGUGCUCUUCACAGUUUGGAACUCCUGACAAGAACAACAUCCCUCUCCCUUGAGAUCUGAAAUGUUUCUCUCUAUAGCUGCUUGCUUUAUAUUGCAAAGACACCCAUCAUGUACAUCCCUAGUUGCGUUCUACUUUCUUCCUUUAAAGAAAAACACUCUAUGAACUCACUACAGAUGACUCUAAUAAAGAUUAUUCAGUCAAGGCUAGAAAUGUCUCCUCUUUUUCUCUUCUCACUUAACCACAAACUGCCUUACAAUUUUUCCAUUUUUAUCACCAAUAUGCUUGUUAUGCCCCUGCUUUUAACACUUCUGUCAAUGGUUCAAUAGCUUGGCUGCCCAGAAAUCUUUCAUGUCAGCCCUCAUGCAGUGUUGAUUUUUAUACAUCCUCCUUCAAUGUCCAUCAGCUUGCAUUUAAUGCACCAUGAAAUUCUGUUGUCCUUUGCUAGAAGAGAAAGCAGGGCAUAACUGUCAAAGAUGCUUCUUGUGGUCCAUCACCACUGCCAGUGGUGAAGGGCUGGUUAAGUGGGAGGAACAGGGAACUGUGUCCUUAUUCCAAGCCUCUUGGCAAUCCCACUAUUUGCCACUUAGGAACAGCACCAGCAGCUGACUCAGAUUUCUCCAGCUUCCUUACAGGAAACGCGGAUCCCACAGAGGAUUCAGACACAGGGCUGACCAUACACUUAAGGAUCUGAAUCACAUGCUCCCAGGAACAUGAACAGAGUGUUUCAUCUAACACAUUGGAAAAACAAGUCCUCAAAGAGCAUGCCUCCACACUGAAAGCUCUGGAUGGAAGUGCCCUGCUUUAUACGAAACCUGCUGCCGCGUCAGGGCUCUCACCUGGCUGCUCCUGUUCAAUCAGAAAGGGAGAGGAUCAAAAGCUACCUGAAGUCCACCACAAGGCUCCCAUCUUCUUGACAUCCUCUGUUUCUGAAAGUUAAUAAAAAAACCACAAUUUCAUAUUUAGCAAUAAUUAGUGCUUAAAAGUGCUUUGCAAAUACAACUAAUUG